CGUGUAGGCGGCUGAAUAAGUCAGAUGUGAAAUCCCUGGGCUUAACCCAGGACGUGCAUUUGAAACUAUUCAGCUUGAGUAAGGGAGAGGAAAGUGGAAUUCCUGGUGUAGAGGUGAAAUUCGUAGAUAUCAGGAGGAACACCGGUGGCGAAGGCGACUUUCUGGCCCUAUACUGACGCUGAGACGCGAGAGCGUGGGUAGCAAACAG
RNAcentral lists this ribosomal RNA (208 nucleotides) under uncultured Syntrophaceae bacterium. RNAcentral's name for it is "partial 16S ribosomal RNA". It matches the Rfam family "Bacterial small subunit ribosomal RNA", at positions 568 to 775 of the family's 1533-position model. The record is from RNAcentral. Lineage: Bacteria; Pseudomonadati; Thermodesulfobacteriota; Syntrophia; Syntrophales; Syntrophaceae.